This 434-nucleotide ribosomal RNA is filed under the name uncultured Glomus. Its description in RNAcentral is "SSU rRNA". It matches the Rfam family "Eukaryotic small subunit ribosomal RNA", at positions 597 to 1036 of the family's 1831-position model. Lineage: Eukaryota; Fungi; Glomeromycota; Glomeromycetes; Glomerales; Glomeraceae. The record is from RNAcentral.
GCGUAUAUUAAAGUUGUUGCAGUUAAAAAGCUCGUAGUUGAAUUUCGGGGUUAGCAGGUCGGUCGUGCCAAUGGCAUGCACUGGCUCGCUGACUCCUCCUUCUUGUAGAACCGUAAUGCCAUUAAUUUGGUGUUGCGGGGAAACAGGACUGUUACUUUGAAAAAAUUAGAGUGUUUAAAGCAGGCCAACGCCUGAAUACAUUAGCAUGGAAUAAUGAAAUAGGACGUUCGAACCUAUUUUGUUGGUUUCUAGGAUUGACGUAAUGAUUAAUAGGGAUAGUUGGGGGCAUUAGUAUUCAAUUGUCAGAGGUGAAAUUCUUGGAUUUAUUGAAGACUGACUACUGCGAAAGCAUUUGCCAAGGAUGUUUUCAUUAAUCAAGAACGAAAGUUAGGGGAUCGAAGACGAUCAGAUACCGUCGUAGUCUUAACCAUAAA